Molecule: non-coding RNA, 463 nt
Organism: Pelobates cultripes (western spadefoot toad)
Lineage: Eukaryota; Metazoa; Chordata; Amphibia; Anura; Pelobatidae
Source: the annotation of a GenBank genome assembly
UAAUCAGUAAAAGUGCUGUUUGUGUGUGAAAAUGCAAAAAAAAGACACUUUCACUGACGAUAUCAUCAUUGUGAUACGUUUUACUGUUUUGAAACAGUAAUAUUUGUGUUCAGUGAAGUCUCCUGAGUAUAGCAGUACCCUCCCAUGUACAGGUUUUAUGGUGUCUUGGAAAGUUACAGGAUUAAAUAUAGGGCUUGCAAACCAAAUUCUGGUGGAGCCAGCACCUGCAGAAGCUGGACGCACAUCAACGCAGCUCUUCAAGCUUACCUAGAUAUACCUGGCUAAUUCCGGUCAUCGGCCCGCUAUUGCUGAGCUCAGAGGCCACACCAUCCAGACGCCAAGCCAUAUGGGGAAAAGGAACAAAAAGCAAUGAGCAGACCUGGGCUUGGGACUCCAAGAUCUAGGAGUUUUCCUACGCACAACCCCGCGGCCUGAAUCUGCCAAGAUUGUGCCCGCUGAGGCC